Molecule: non-coding RNA, 779 nt
Organism: Chelonoidis abingdonii (Abingdon island giant tortoise)
Lineage: Eukaryota; Metazoa; Chordata; Testudines; Testudinidae
Source: RefSeq, a predicted model, not a curated record
AUUGAUUCUAUGAUGUCCGAUUAGCCAGUGGGAUAAAAGCAAAGUCCUCUCUGCAUGGCUGGUGUGACGUGCUUUAAUAGUAAAGGACACUCAGCCUCGGGCUCUGACUGCCCUGCUCCAAGCAAUUUGUCCUGAAUUGAUACUCUCAGUAGUGUCCUGCCAGAGGCCGCAUUGUUACAGGAGUCGUCCAGGAUUACAACUGGGAACUCUCCGAAGCUCAGGAUGUGCUCCCUCAGCUAGGGGAAGUAUGUAACCCACACACCUCCAGGGUGUGGUGGUGUGUCCCAGCUAGUGGCACCAAGAUCACUUAGAGGGAGAGAUAAAGCGAGUCUUCUCUACAGUCUUAGCUGGCAGCCAGGUGGCUUUUAGUUCAUACUGUAGAGGCCCACGCACUAAGCUCCUGAGUUCCCAGUUCGAUCCUACCCACCGACAAGUCACCGACCGGAUCUGUCAGCAAAUCAGAGACAGCUGCCAUCCCAAGAAGGAGAAAGCUGCCUUGCCCAGCCGAGAAGAGGUGUCAAGCAGUAAGCUGAUACCCUUUGGAGCUUCCUGUGAUAAACUGCAAACUUUGGACAAUAGCAGGGUGGAAGGAAGUGUUGCCCUCAGAGUGGCCUGGGUCAGAGCCCAUGGGAGGCCCUGGGCUCCUCUACCAUCUGCUGCACCCUCCCACCCCGAAGGACCAAAACCCUGACCACUAGGCAACAUCCCCUUGAGCAAAGGCCAUCACGAGGCAUCUGUCUUCGAAACUUUGCAGAGGAUGAGGGGCAGAAAAUGGCAGA